ACGCUGGCGGCAGGCCUAACACAUGCAAGUCGAGCGGUAGAGAGAAGCUUGCUUCUCUUGAGAGCGGCGGACGGGUGAGUAAUGCCUAGGAAUCUGCCUGGUAGUGGGGGAUAACGUUCGGAAACGGACGCUAAUACCGCAUACGUCCUACGGGAGAAAGCAGGGGACCUUCGGGCCUUGCGCUAUCAGAUGAGCCUAGGUCGGAUUAGCUAGUUGGUGGGGUAAUGGCUCACCAAGGCGACGAUCCGUAACUGGUCUGAGAGGAUGAUCAGUCACACUGGAACUGAGACACGGUCCAGACUCCUACGGGAGGCAGCAGUGGGGAAUAUUGGACAAUGGGCGAAAGCCUGAUCCAGCCAUGCCGCGUGUGUGAAGAAGGUCUUCGGAUUGUAAAGCACUUUAAGUUGGGAGGAAGGGUUGUAGAUUAAUACUCUGCAAUUUUGACGUUACCGACAGAAUAAGCACCGGCUAACUCUGUGCCAGCAGCCGCGGUAAUACAGAGGGUGCAAGCGUUAAUCGGAAUUACUGGGCGUAAAGCGCGCGUAGGUGGUUAGUUAAGUUGGAUGUGAAAUCCCCGGGCUCAACCUGGGAACUGCAUUCAAAACUGACUGACUAGAGUAUGGUUGAGGGUGGUGGAAUUUCCUGUGUAGCGGUGAAAUGCGUAGAUAUAGGAAAGAACACCAGUGGCGAAGGCGACCACCUGGACUGAUACUGACACUGAGGUGCGAAAGCGUGGGGAGCAAAC
This 745-nucleotide ribosomal RNA is filed under the name uncultured bacterium. RNAcentral's name for it is "bacterial SSU rRNA". It matches the Rfam family "Bacterial small subunit ribosomal RNA", at positions 33 to 773 of the family's 1533-position model. The record is from RNAcentral.